CUGCUGCUCUGCACACUGACUCCUUCACCAGGGAUCGCUCUGAAAAUAUUUUAUGAAGUCCUUUCAACUACCACUGUUCUGCACACUGACUCCUUCACCAGGAAUUUUUCCAGAAAUAUUUUACCAGAUCUUCUCAAUCCAACUAUUACUGCCCUGAAGCUCUAACAUC
Molecule: long non-coding RNA, 169 nt
Organism: Ctenocephalides felis (cat flea)
Lineage: Eukaryota; Metazoa; Arthropoda; Insecta; Siphonaptera; Pulicidae
Exons: 3
Source: RefSeq, a predicted model, not a curated record